AUACAUAUGCUGUGAAUGGUAAC
RNAcentral lists this non-coding RNA (23 nucleotides) under Arabidopsis thaliana (thale cress). The record is from RNAcentral. Lineage: Eukaryota; Viridiplantae; Streptophyta; Magnoliopsida; Brassicales; Brassicaceae.